Molecule: ribosomal RNA, 253 nt
Filed under: uncultured bacterium
Lineage: Bacteria
Description: partial 16S ribosomal RNA
Rfam family: Bacterial small subunit ribosomal RNA
Source: RNAcentral
UACAGAGGUCUCAAGCGUUGUUCGGAUUCAUUGGGCGUAAAGGGUGCGUAGGCGGCGCGGUAAGUCGGGUGUGAAAUCUCGGGGCUUAACUCCGAAACUGCAUUCCAUACUGCGGUGCUCGAGGACUGGAGAGGAGACUGGAAUUCAUGGUGUAGCAGUGAAAUGCGUAGAGAUCAUGAGGAAGACCAGUGGCGAAGGCGGGUCUCUGGACAGUUCCUGACACUGAGGCACGAAGGCCAGGGGAGCAAACGGG